UGGGGAAUAUUGCACAAUGGGGGAAACCCUGAUGCAGCGACGCCGCGUGAAGGAAGAAGUAUCUCGGUAUGUAAACUUCUAUCAGCAGGGAAGAUAGUGACGGUACCUGACUAAGAAGCCCCGGCUAACUACGUGCCAA
This 139-nucleotide ribosomal RNA is filed under the name uncultured bacterium. RNAcentral describes it as "partial 16S ribosomal RNA". It matches the Rfam family "Bacterial small subunit ribosomal RNA", at positions 355 to 511 of the family's 1533-position model. The record is from RNAcentral.